This 465-nucleotide ribosomal RNA is filed under the name Vreelandella stevensii. RNAcentral's name for it is "partial 16S ribosomal RNA". It matches the Rfam family "Bacterial small subunit ribosomal RNA", at positions 338 to 795 of the family's 1533-position model. Lineage: Bacteria; Pseudomonadati; Pseudomonadota; Gammaproteobacteria; Oceanospirillales; Halomonadaceae. The record is from RNAcentral.
CCUACGGGGGGCAGCAGUGGGGAAUAUUGGACAAUGGGGGCAACCCUGAUCCAGCCAUGCCGCGUGUGUGAAGAAGGCCCUCGGGUUGUAAAGCACUUUCAGUGAGGAAGAACGCCUGGUGGUUAAUACCCAUCAGGAAAGACAUCACUCACAGAAGAAGCACCGGCUAACUCCGUGCCAGCAGCCGCGGUAAUACGGAGGGUGCGAGCGUUAAUCGGAAUUACUGGGCGUAAAGCGCGCGUAGGUGGCUUGAUAAGCCGGUUGUGAAAGCCCCGGGCUCAACCUGGGAACGGCAUCCGGCACUGUCCAGCUAGAGUGCAGGAGAGGAAGGUAGAAUUCCCGGUGUAGCGGUGAAAUGCGUAGAGAUCGGGAGGAAUACCAGUGGCGAAGGCGGCCUUCUGGACUGACACUGACACUGAGGUGCGAAAGCGUGGGUAGCAAACAGGAUUAGAUACCCUAGUAGUA